Molecule: small RNA, 2911 nt
Filed under: Pongo abelii (Sumatran orangutan)
Lineage: Eukaryota; Metazoa; Chordata; Mammalia; Primates; Hominidae
Description: retained intron
Source: RNAcentral
GGCUGCAAGUGGAAAACGACCGGCGCCGCGGGGGCUGCAGGCGCUUCCGCCCCCGCCCCGGGCCUGGACCUUCGGGGUCACCUGACUCCGACCUGCCCGGGCCGGGCGGCGCGGGGGGUAAAGUCCGGGCCGGGGUCAAGAGCGCGGCUGCAGGCCGUGGGGGGCGGGGUCCCGGAGUUCUGCCCCUCGCAGCUCCAGGCCCCUCCUCAGCUUCCCUCUCCUGCCUCCCACCCCCCCGGGGGCGGGGCGACCCUGGGCGCCGAGACCGCGGGUGGGGGAUGCGGGGAGACCCUGGGCGGGGGACCCGAAGGUGGAGUGGGCGGGGCGACCUUGGGCGCUGGCCUCAGCCUGCGGGCCCUGGAGCCAGGUGCACAGCGCAUCGCCCGAGGCUGUCACCGCCCCGCCCGUCCCCUCCCACCCCAGCUGUCCUGGACCCAGGGGCAGGGAGAGGCUGGACGCCAGGUGCGCGGACACAGACACGCCUGAGCACAGCUUCCUCCUUGCCGCUCCGGGAAGUGGGCAGCCAGCCCAGGAACCAGUACCACCUGCACCAUGGGGCUGUCCCGGAAGGAGCAGGUCUUCUUGGCCCUGUUGGGGGCCUCGGGGGUCUCAGGCCUCACUGCACUCAUUCUCCUCCUGGUGGAGGCCACCAGCGUGCUCCUGCCCACAGACAUCAAGGUGCGUCCCUGCCGGCAGGGGAGGCCGGGCCGGGUCCACAGGUGUUGCCUCCCACUCAUCCCACUGUCUCCCCAGUUUGGGAUCGUGUUUGAUGCGGGCUCCUCCCACACGUCCCUCUUCCUGUAUCAGUGGCCGGCGAACAAGGAGAAUGGCACGGGUGUGGUCAGCCAGGCCCUGGCCUGUCAGGUGGAAGGGCCUGGAAUCUCCUCCUACACUUCUAAUCCUGCGCAGGCUGGUGAGAGCCUGCAGGGCUGCUUGGAGGAGGCUCUGGUGCUGAUCCCAGAGGCCCAGCAUCGGAAAACACCCACGUUCCUGGGGGCCACGGCUGGCAUGAGGUUGCUCAGGUGAGGCAGGCAUGGCCUUAGCACCCACGGGGAGUGGCUGCAGAAGCCAUGGUCUCAGCCAGCGUGGCAGGCAGGGUGGGGCCGGGCCCAGGCUUCCAGCCAGCUCCAGCCCCUGGUCCUCUGUGCCCAGCCAGAAGAACAGCUCUCAGGCCAGGGACAUCUUUGCAGCAAUCACCCAGGUCCUGGGCCGGUCUCCCGUGGACUUUUGGGGUGCUGAGCUCCUGGCCGGGCAGGACGAAGGUGCCUUUGGUUGGAUCACUGUCAACUACGGCUUGGGGACGCUGGUCAAGGUGCCACAGGCAGCCUGAGGGCGGGGGCUGGUCUGCGAGGGGCUGGUGUCUGGGGCUGGCUGACUGGGGCGGGGUCCGGGUGGCUGCUCCCAGCUGAGUGGCCCCUUCUGUGCCCAGUACUCCUUCACUGGAGAAUGGAUCCAGCCUCCGGAGGAGACGCUGGUGGGCGCCCUGGACAUGGGGGGGGCCUCCACCCAGAUCACGUUCAUGCCUGGGGGCCCCAUCUUGGACAAGAGCACCCAGGCCGAUUUUCGCCUCUACGGCUCCGACUACAGCGUCUACACUCACAGCUACCUCUGCUUUGGACGGGACCAGAUGCUGAGCAGGCUCCUUGUGGGGCUGGUGCAGAGCUGCCCGGCUGCCCUGCUCCGUCACCCGUGCUACCUCAGCGGCUACCAGACCACACUGGCCCUGGCCCCGCUGUAUGAGUCACCCUGUGUCCACACCACACCCCCGCUGAGCCUCCCCCAGAACCUCACAGUUGAAGGGACAGGCAACCCUGGGGCCUGCGUCUCAGCCAUCCGGGAACUUUUCAACUUCUCCAGCUGCCAGGGCCAGGAGGACUGUGCCUUCAACGGGGUCUACCAGCCCCCGCUGCAGGGCCAGUUCUAUGCCUUCUCCAACUUCUACUACACCUUCCACUUCCUGAAUCUCACCUCCGGGCAGCCCCUGAGCACGGUCAACGCCACCAUCUGGGAGUUUUGCCAGAGGCCCUGGAAACUGGUGGAAGCCAGCUACCCUGGGCAGGACCGCUGGCUGCGGGACUACUGUGCCUCAGGCCUGUACAUCCUCACCCUCCUGCAUGAGGGCUACGGGUUCAGCGAGGAGACCUGGCCCAGCCUCGAGUUCCGAAAGCAGGCGGGCGGUGUGGACAUUGGCUGGACACUGGGCUACAUGCUGAACCUGACCGGGAUGAUCCCGGCCGACGCGCCGGCUCAGCGGUGGGCAGCGAGCGACGGCAUCUGGGUGGCCAAAGUGGUGUUCAUGGUGCUGGCCCUGGUGGCGGUGGUGGGGGCUGCCUCGGUCCAGCUCUUCUGGUUGCAGGACUAGUGGGAAGGCGGAGGUGGCCCCCACAGAGCCCACAGGCGGCUGUGUCCCGGACGCCGGAGGCUUCCUGAGCCCUGAGCGCCGUGGGGCCUUGCUCUGUGGCUCUGCCCACGGUCAGGUGACAGCCACCUCCAGGGCACCGUCAGGGUGAUGCUGGCCACAGAGGCUGCACGGCCUCCCCUCCCGGCGUCCCUGCCCGCCCCCCGCCUUCCGCAACUGGGCUUCCAGGGCCGUAGGUGCCUUUCCGCACGCAGGCCGCCAGGACUCGUGGUGUCUCCAGGCUGUGUGACUGCAGGGCCACAUGCUGCCUGCAAACAGAGCAAGACCACGGAGGCACAGGGGUCCUGCUCCUGACGGGGCCUCAGGAGGGGCGGAGAGGGGCGGAGGGGAGGGAGCUGCCCCGCCUGGACCCCCGCUCUCCCUGUUGUUGUCUGAGCGGAUAGAUGGAGUCCAGGCCUGGGGGCUUCUGCUGGGCCAGCCCGGCUUCCCACACCCACUUGGAGGGUUAGACUGCAGUGGGGGUUGUUUUUAUUAAAGCUCGUGGACACAGCA